GACGAACGCUGGCGGCGUGCCUAACACAUGCAAGUGGAGCGACGAACCAGGGCUUGCCCUGGGGCCAAGCCGCGAACGGGUGAGUAGCACGUGGGUAACCUGCCCCGAUGACCGGGACAACCCGAGGAAACUCGGGCUAAUACCGGAUGUGGUGGACACACUUAAGUGUGUCCACUAAAGGAAGCUUCGGCCUCCGCAUUGGGAUGGGCCCGCGGCCCAUUAGCUAGUUGGUGGGGUAAAGGCCACCAAGGCAACGAUGGGUAGCUGGUCUGAGAGGACGAUCAGCCACACUGGGACUGAGACACGGCCCAGACUCCUACGGGAGGCAGCAGUGGGGAAUCUUGCGCAAUGCGCGAAAGCGUGACGCAGCAACGCCGCGUGAGGGAAGACGGCCUGGU
RNAcentral lists this ribosomal RNA (398 nucleotides) under uncultured bacterium. RNAcentral describes it as "bacterial SSU rRNA". It matches the Rfam family "Bacterial small subunit ribosomal RNA", at positions 28 to 420 of the family's 1533-position model. The record is from RNAcentral.